Molecule: unclassified non-coding RNA, 416 nt
Filed under: Hevea brasiliensis (rubber tree)
Lineage: Eukaryota; Viridiplantae; Streptophyta; Magnoliopsida; Malpighiales; Euphorbiaceae
Source: RNAcentral
GACUUCAUACAUCCUAUAUAAACUCUGGGUUUUGACCGAUGCCUAGCUAAAGUUGCUCCAAGUGUGGCUAUAUUUACAUGCACAUCGUCAUCAACUUUGACAUAAAAAUCUGCAUCCCACAAAGCAACAGCAGUAGCAAAAUAUGUCUUUGUCUUUGCAGACAAUUCAAGGUAUCCCUCAACAUGCUCCAGCCUCAAGAAGUCACCAUGCUUCUUAUCUUCUGCUUCAAUAGCUCUGUCAAGGAUACCACCUGCCGUAGCACUGUGACCUAUUACAAAGCGAAUUAUGAUUCCCUUCUCUUCCUCAAGCUUCUUUCUUUUAUCACCUUGGGGCAUCCAAGUAGCACGAACUGAAUCUCUUCGCUUUCGGCUGCUAAAAGCAGUAUUUAUGCCUACAACCAUUAAAUACUUUCUUUU